This is a long non-coding RNA of Notothenia coriiceps (black rockcod), 255 nucleotides long. RefSeq lists it as uncharacterized. The transcript has 2 exons. The record is from RefSeq and is a predicted model, not a curated record. Lineage: Eukaryota; Metazoa; Chordata; Actinopteri; Perciformes; Nototheniidae.
UUUAUUGCUCGCACCUAGUCCAAGGGUCACUAAGGUGAUACUCCACUGCCUUUUUCCACCAGUAGUGAAUGUGUUUACCUCUAUCUGCCUGUCUGUGUGGUGAGGAUUUGUGACUGCAACACUCAUAGGAGCCAUGGGUUGGAUGGAGUCGUCUAAAAAGAAGAAGAUUAUUAUAUGUCUCUUGGCUGUGUCCAUCGUGACCCUGAUCCUCGGGCUUGGACUUGGACUUGGACUGGACUUGAAGAAAUGUCAAAA